RNAcentral lists this ribosomal RNA (774 nucleotides) under uncultured Neocallimastigales. RNAcentral's name for it is "partial large subunit ribosomal RNA". It matches the Rfam family "Eukaryotic large subunit ribosomal RNA", at positions 23 to 634 of the family's 3401-position model. Lineage: Eukaryota; Fungi; Neocallimastigomycota; Neocallimastigomycetes; Neocallimastigales. The record is from RNAcentral.
AGAGAGAGACAUGCGCGCAUAUCAAUAAGCGGAGGAAAAGAAACUAACAAGGAUUCCCUCAGUAACGGCGAGUGAAGCGGGAAGAGCUCAAAUUUGAAAUCUUCAAGGUUCUACCUUGACGAAUUGUAGUUUAAAGAAGUGUUUUCUGUUGAAGUUUUGGUAAAAGUUCUUUGGAAUAGGACAUCAUAGAGGGUGAGAAUCCCGUAUUUGACCAUUAUUUUCAGCUUUGUGAUACACUUUCAAAGAGUCGGAUUGUUUGGGAAUGCAGUCCAAAAUGGGUGGUAAAUUUCAUCUAAAGCUAAAUAUUGGCGAGAGACCGAUAGCGAACAAGUACCGUGAGGGAAAGAUGAAAAGAACUUUGAAAAGAGAGUUAAACAGUACGUGAAAUUGUCAAAAGGGAAGCGUUUGACACCAGUGUUGUUUUCUCGAAAAUCAAUUAAAAAUGGCUCGAUUUUGUAUUGCUGAGACCUUAAAAGCUCACUGUACAUUUUUCGUGUCUUUUUUAAUGCACUUUUCGUUCAACAAGUCAACAUCAGUUUCUUUUGUUGUAAAAGGGUCAUUGGAAGGUGGCUUUCUUUUCGGAGAAAGUGUUUAUAGCCUUUGGCCUCUGCAAUCGGAGAGACUGAGGUCUGCAGCGUAGACUCUUCGGGGUUAGAUACAUUUGUGCUAAGUUAUAGCUUUUUAUAGACAACUUGUUGACUAUAAUUAGUCUUGUAGCUUACUCGCUUAUGCUAUUUUACCUACGCUUAGGAUGUUGAGUCGUAGAGCACGCAG